This 253-nucleotide ribosomal RNA is filed under the name uncultured bacterium. RNAcentral's name for it is "partial 16S ribosomal RNA". It matches the Rfam family "Bacterial small subunit ribosomal RNA", at positions 524 to 776 of the family's 1533-position model. The record is from RNAcentral.
UACGUAGGGUGCAAGCGUUGUCCGGAAUUAUUGGGCGUAAAGAGCUCGUAGGCGGUUUGUCGCGUCUGCUGUGAAAACUCGGGGCUUAACCCCGGGCCUGCAGUGGGUACGGGCAGACUAGAGUGCGGUAGGGGAGACUGGAAUUCCUGGUGUAGCGGUGAAAUGCGCAGAUAUCGGGAGGAACACCGGUGGCGAAGGCGGGUCUCUGGGCCGUAACUGACGCUGAGGAGCGAAAGCGUGGGGAGCGAACAGG